UUGUGUUUCCUCUUCACAAGAACUUCCAGUUCGAGGCUGCCUCCAUGCCGCUACAUUGGAAUCGGCAUUGUGCACCCCCUCGUAAGAAUAUAGGUCCUUGGGACUUUUGGAGGACAGCGAAAGCACAAUUCUACCUAAAUACAGAGAGAGAGUUAUCACAGCUCCCAAAUACUUGUGUGGUUGAAGUCGAUCUCGACUGAUUCGAAACGAGUGGGACACACAAUGGCUCACAUGCGAAUGAGGACCCUGAAGAUGCUGCCUAAAAGCGCGACGUACGAGACUCCAUACACAACAGGAAGCAAUGCUGCCCAUUAAAUUGCCCACGCAUCCUGUGGCAUCGAGGAACACAAGCAUCUGCAUCGGGUAAUCAGAGAGCAGGCAAUCUUUCGGCGUAAACGACGAGAAUGUUAACCUUCUUCACCAUCGUCACACACUCUUAAGUUGGCUUUCAGUUUCGGGCGAAGUUUGUGGACCAAUUGUCGGAAGAGUCCUGGUUGUGGAUCGUCAGCAUUGUAGGAAACGAUUGCGGCGCCUAUUUCAAGUCCAUUUCAAGCCAACCUGGUCGACGCUAAAGCUCAACCUCUACUUCAGCGUCGUCACAGACCAACAUAUGCGAAGAACUUCUGCAUCAGCUCCUUGCGAGGUGGAUUCCGGAGAUGGGUCGUGCAUCAUCUAGACAGGAAAAGGCACCAUCGCCGGGCUCAGGGCUCCCACAUCACUCGUCACCUUCUUCUUCUUCUUCUUCUUCUUCUUUAUCAUUUUGCUUCGAGCUGGUUUCAUCGACAAUUCACACACUGUGAUGUUCUGGAUCAGCCUUCACUGCAGCUCCAGCAGCCAUGGCCACUGAUUCCUUCAACAACAACAAGAGCAGUUGAGCUAUUCAUCUAUUACAUUACACAUUGCAAGCGGAUAUGCACAAUCUGUGUUUCCAUUGACAAAAAUUUGAAGUGAAAGAUGGAAAACACGUAAGAAGCGGAGUUUACGAUGCAGUCGAUUCGUGAUGACAUGGUGGGACUGCAUUGAAAUCGCUUCUUCUUGUACAAUUUUGCAUCUUCCAUGUGUUGGUUUUGUAUUGUUUUGUAUUGUUUUUUAAUCUCCAAGUGUUUGUUGUAGUUGUGUUUUUCCUGUUUCAACAGUCUGUUGGGAAGGUUUUUGGCACCCUGUGUGUGAAAAGGAUGUGAGAUAAUGAAUGACACAAUGUUGGUGUGCUACAUCUCCAACAUUGUAGAGAAAUAUGAGCUUCAAAACUAUCACACCUGAUAGAGAAAGAUAUGAAGUGGCUUGUUUGAGGCAAAACAUUAUUGAUGAGUAUGAAAAGAAGAGUGAGGAGUUGUUGGAUUAUCUUAAUGUUAUGGAGGUGGAGUUGGAUCUUCAACAACAUGAAUUUGAACAACGAGAAGCCUUUUUGCGACAUGAAAACAAUCUUCUCAAAAACAAACUAAACCAAAGGCUUAAAUGGUCCAAACCAGAGGAAUCAAUAUAACAGUCUGUAAGCAUCAGUUCGGGAGCCAAGAUGUUGAAAAAGAGAUUAAUGUGCAGACCACACAAGAUAAUGGGAAUUGUGGAAGGAAACAGAAAAGAAUUAAGGAACUUAAAACUUAUGUAGAUGACUUGCAACUUGAGCUUCAAAAAGUUGGAGAAAUGACAUUGCGUCAAAAGCAAGGGAUGGAACAAUCUAAAAACAAAAUGGAACGUGAAAACCAAGAACUUCGACUCAAAGUUGCUCUUGGUUGGAUGUUGGGUUGUUUAUCAGAGUUAUAUUCACAGGUUGAAUUGAAAAGUAAAGGUGCAAAAAUUAUGAGCUUAAUCAAGAAAGUUCAACAAGAACUUGUGUAGCUGGAAGUUGCAUAUUUAAUGAGAAAGAUUUAUUUUCUAAAUCAGAAAAUGAAGCCACUCGAGUUGACAUUCAUCAGUUAAUUGGAAAUUCUCAUCCAUUGCGUACAACAUCGUUGCAGAGUUCUCAAACAAAUUAUAAUUCAAAUCAGAAAACAGUCACAUCUAGAGUUCAAAAACCAUGUAGCGGAAAUGAAUCUUUAGAAUAUCCAAAGUGUAGCCAAAAGCGAUGGCAGAAACACAAUGUUGUGCAUUUAAACAAAAAUGAACAAUAAGAGUACAAAAAAUUAAUUACGGACUCAAUUCUUUCAUUUCUGUAAGCGAACCUUGUUUGAGAAUUACCUUUCGACUUGGUAUGCUUGGAAUAUGUUUUUAGAAUUACCUUUCAAUUUAAGAAAUUCAACUUGGUAUGCUUGGAAAAUUCAAGAUUCAAUAAACUUAUUUUUCUUAA
Physcomitrium patens is the source of this 2284-nucleotide non-coding RNA. The record is from RefSeq and is a predicted model, not a curated record. NCBI's taxonomy places the organism in Eukaryota, Viridiplantae, Streptophyta, Bryopsida, Funariales, Funariaceae.